RNAcentral lists this ribosomal RNA (327 nucleotides) under uncultured eukaryote. RNAcentral describes it as "partial 18S ribosomal RNA". It matches the Rfam family "Eukaryotic small subunit ribosomal RNA", at positions 1470 to 1796 of the family's 1831-position model. The record is from RNAcentral.
CCCUUAGAUGUUCUGGGCCGCACACGCGCUACACUGAAGGAGGCAGCGUGUACUCCUGGAUCGAAAGAUUUGGGUAACCCGCGAAUCUCCUUCGUGCUAGGGAUUGAGGUUUGCAAUUAUCCUUCAUGAACGAGGAAUUCCCAGUAAGUGCAAGUCAUAAGCUUGCGCUGACUACGUCCCUGCCCUUUGUACACACCGCCCGUCGCUACUACCGAUUGAAUGAUUUAGCGAGGACUUCGGACUGGGACCGAUGCGGCUUUCGGGCUGCGUCGGUAUUCUGGAAAGAUGUCCAAACUGUAUCAUUUAGAGGAAGUAAAANUCGUANCA